GAUGAAGAACGUAGCGAAAUGCGAUACGUAAUGUGAAUUGCAGAAUUCAGUGAAUCAUCGAAUCUUUGAACGCAUAUUGCGCUCUCUGGUAUUCCGGAGAGCAUGCUUGUUUGAGUAUCAGUAAACACCUCAACUCCCUUUUCUUUUUUGAAAUUGGAGCUGGACUUGAGUGAUCCCAACGCUUUCUUCCAAGAAAGUGGCGGGUUGCUUGAAAUGCAGGUGCAGCUGAACUUUUCUCUGAGCUAUAAGCAUAUCUAUUUAGUCUGCCGAAAAAACAGAUUAUUACCUUUGCUGCAGCUAACAUAAAGGAGACUAGUUCUUGUGCUGACUGAUGCAGGAUUCACAGAGACAGCUUCGGCUGACUUUGUAAACUCGAUCUCAAAUCAAGUAAGACUACCCGCUGAACUUAAGCAUAUCAAUAAGCGGAGGA
RNAcentral lists this unclassified non-coding RNA (430 nucleotides) under soil metagenome. RNAcentral describes it as "partial contains 5.8S ribosomal RNA, internal transcribed spacer 2, and large subunit ribosomal RNA". The stretch from base 1 to 120 matches the Rfam family "5.8S ribosomal RNA", at positions 35 to 154 of the family's 154-position model. The record is from RNAcentral.